This 23-nucleotide non-coding RNA is filed under the name Cricetulus griseus (Chinese hamster). The record is from RNAcentral. Lineage: Eukaryota; Metazoa; Chordata; Mammalia; Rodentia; Cricetidae.
AUCUGGGUUGAUGGUACUGGAGA